CCCAUCAUUUUAGCAUGGACGUCGUCCCUACUAAUCUAAAAGAUUUGCGAGCGUGUCUCUUAUGCUCUUUAAUUAAAACCGAAUCGCAAUUCUUUAAGGAAGGGUGUAAUAACUGUGAAGAGUUUUUAGAAAUAAAAAAUUCUCUGCAACGCAUCGAAGAAUGCACAAGCAGCAACUUUGAGGGUGUAAUUUCCUUAAUGCAACCACAAAAUUCUUGGGUGGCCAAGUGGCAAAGGAUCGCUCGUUUUGGUAAGGGUUGUUAUGCAAUUUCAAUAACUGGUGAACUCCCCCCUUACUUAGUGGAGGAUUUACAAGAGAAAGAUAUUUACUAUCGUAAUCGGGACUUACACUCCAGCUUUAAUCUUUAAAAGGGUUGUCUUUUGGUUGAAAUUUUUUAUAAAACACUGAAAAUUAAUUUUAAGAUAGGCAAUAAAGCUUAU
Long non-coding RNA from Zophobas morio, 440 nucleotides. RefSeq lists it as uncharacterized. The transcript is spliced from 4 exons. The record is from RefSeq and is a predicted model, not a curated record. NCBI's taxonomy places the organism in Eukaryota, Metazoa, Arthropoda, Insecta, Coleoptera, Tenebrionidae.